Molecule: ribosomal RNA, 776 nt
Filed under: uncultured bacterium
Lineage: Bacteria
Description: bacterial SSU rRNA
Rfam family: Bacterial small subunit ribosomal RNA
Source: RNAcentral
AGAGUUUGAUCAUGGCUCAGGAUGAACGCUGGCGGCGUGCUUAACACAUGCAAGUCGAACGGAAAGGCCCAAGCUUGCUUGGGUACUCGAGUGGCGAACGGGUGAGUAACACGUGGGUGAUCUGCCCUGCACUUCGGGAUAAGCCUGGGAAACUGGGUCUAAUACCGGAUAGGACGAUGGUUUGGAUGCCAUUGUGGAAAGUUUUUUCGGUGUGGGAUGAGCUCGCGGCCUAUCAGCUUGUUGGUGGGGUAAUGGCCUACCAAGGCGUCGACGGGUAGCCGGCCUGAGAGGGUGUACGGCCACAUUGGGACUGAGAUACGGCCCAGACUCCUACGGGAGGCAGCAGUGGGGAAUAUUGCACAAUGGGCGCAAGCCUGAUGCAGCGACGCCGCGUGGGGGAUGACGGCCUUCGGGUUGUAAACUCCUUUCGCUAGGGACGAAGCGUUUUUGUGACGGUACCUGGAGAAGAAGCACCGGCUAACUACGUGCCAGCAGCCGCGGUAAUACGUAGGGUGCGAGCGUUGUCCGGAAUUACUGGGCGUAAAGAGCUCGUAGGUGGUUUGUCGCGUCGUUUGUGUAAGCCCGCAGCUUAACUGCGGGACUGCAGGCGAUACGGGCAUAACUUGAGUGCUGUAGGGGAGACUGGAAUUCCUGGUGUAGCGGUGGAAUGCGCAGAUAUCAGGAGGAACACCGAUGGCGAAGGCAGGUCUCUGGGCAGUAACUGACGCUGAGGAGCGAAAGCAUGGGUAGCGAACAGGAUUAGAUACCCUGGUAGU